UACGAAGGGGGCUAGCGUUGCUCGGAAUGACUGGGCGUAAAGGGCGCGUAGGCGGCUUGCACCGUCAGAUGUGAAAUCCCCGGGCUUAACCUGGGAACUGCGCUUGUAACUGGCAAGCUUGAGUGUGGCAGAGGGGGGUGGAAUUCCACGUGUAGCAGUGAAAUGCGUAGAGAUGUGGAGGAACACCGAUGGCGAAGGCAGCCCCCUGGGCUAACACUGACGCUCAUGCACGAAAGCGUGGGGAGCAAACAGG
This 253-nucleotide ribosomal RNA is filed under the name uncultured bacterium. RNAcentral describes it as "partial 16S ribosomal RNA". It matches the Rfam family "Bacterial small subunit ribosomal RNA", at positions 524 to 776 of the family's 1533-position model. The record is from RNAcentral.